GUCCCUUUAUUCGUCUUCCUGU
Molecule: microRNA, 22 nt
Filed under: Echinococcus granulosus
Lineage: Eukaryota; Metazoa; Platyhelminthes; Cestoda; Cyclophyllidea; Taeniidae
Description: egr-miR-10282-3p
Source: miRBase by way of RNAcentral